GAUGAACGCUGGCGGCGUGCCUAAUACAUGCAAGUCGAGCGAACGGACGAGAAGCUUGCUUCUCUGAUGUUAGCGGCGGACGGGUGAGUAACACGUGGAUAACCUACCUAUAAGACUGGGAUAACUUCGGGAAACCGGAGCUAAUACCGGAUAAUAUUUUGAACCGCAUGGUUCAAAAGUGAAAGACGGUCUUGCUGUCACUUAUAGAUGGAUCCGCGCUGCAUUAGCUAGUUGGUAAGGUAACGGCUUACCAAGGCAACGAUGCAUAGCCGACCUGAGAGGGUGAUCGGCCACACUGGAACUGAGACACGGUCAAGACUCCUACGAGAGGCAGCAGUAGGGAAUAUUCCGCGAUGGGCGAAAGCAUGACGGAGCAACGCCGCGUGAGUGAUGAAGGUCUUCGGAUCGUAAAACUCUGUUAUUAGGGAAGAACAUAUGUGUAAGUAACUGUGCACAUCUUGACGGUACCUAAUCAGAAAGCCACGGCUAACUACGUG
RNAcentral lists this ribosomal RNA (497 nucleotides) under uncultured bacterium. RNAcentral's name for it is "partial 16S ribosomal RNA". It matches the Rfam family "Bacterial small subunit ribosomal RNA", at positions 28 to 507 of the family's 1533-position model. The record is from RNAcentral.